UGACGCUGGCGGCAGGCCUAACACAUGCAAGUCGAGCGGAAACGAGUUGUCUGAACCUUCGGGGAACGAUAACGGCGUCGAGCGGCGGACGGGUGAGUAAUGCCUGGGAAAUUGCCCUGAUGUGGGGGAUAACCAUUGGAAACGAUGGCUAAUACCGCAUAAUAGCUUCGGCUCAAAGAGGGGGACCUUCGGGCCUCUCGCGUCAGGAUAUGCCCAGGUGGGAUUAGCUAGUUGGUGAGGUAAAGGCUCACCAAGGCAACGAUCCCUAGCUGGUCUGAGAGGAUGAUCAGCCACACUGGAACUGAGACACGGUCCAGACUCCUACGGGAGGCAGCAGUGGGGAAUAUUGCACAAUGGGCGCAAGCCUGAUGCAGCCAUGCCGCGUGUAUGAAGAAGGCCUUCGGGUUGUAAAGUACUUUCAGCAGUGAGGAAGGCGGAUGCGUUAAUAGCGUAUUCGUUUGACGUUAGCUGCAGAAGAAGCACCGGCUAACUCCGUGCCAGCAGCCGCGGUAAUACGGAGGGUGCGAGCGUUAAUCGGAAUUACUGGGCGUAAAGCGCAUGCAGGUGGUGUGUUAAGUCAGAUGUGAAAGCCCGGGGCUCAACCUCGGAAUAGCAUUUGAAACUGGCACACUAGAGUACUGUAGAGGGGGGUAGAAUUUCA
This 661-nucleotide ribosomal RNA is filed under the name uncultured Gammaproteobacteria bacterium. RNAcentral's name for it is "bacterial SSU rRNA". It matches the Rfam family "Bacterial small subunit ribosomal RNA", at positions 31 to 671 of the family's 1533-position model. Lineage: Bacteria; Pseudomonadati; Pseudomonadota; Gammaproteobacteria. The record is from RNAcentral.